UAUAGAAUUUGCUCUGUGCCCAGCUUGGGCUAGAAGCUUUACGAACAUUAUAUCAUUGAAUCCUCACUGCAUCCUACAUCUUACUGAGCUGUGUGACCUUGAGCAAGUUACUAGACAUCUCUGGGCCCCAGACUGUUUCUUCUAAAAGUAAAAAUAAGGAAAUAUGCACUGAAGAUUUGGGGGCAAAGGAGUGUCCCAUCUGCACCUUACUCUGGAUGGUUCUGAAGACACUGCCCAGGUGCUCACCUCCAUGAAGAGAGCAGCACAGAGAGAAGGAUACAUGUGCACAUGUGGGGGAUUGGGGCGAAGGGUACCUGAGAAGUCUGCAUUCUUCUUGCAACUUUUUUCUAAAUCUGAAAUUAUGUCAAAAUAUAAUUAGAAGAAAAAAAGAAAGAAAAUGCCUGUUUAGCUCCACUCAUCUCUCAUCUGUGUAGGGGGCCCUCCCCAGUCAUUCAUUCACCCUGAUUUUUUCCAAAGCCUGCGAUGGCCCAUGAGACAGGAACAUGCUAGGGGGACUCUGGAGGUGAAUAAACUCCCACCUCACUCUUUGGGGUUUGCAGAGUGGUGCAUGAGGUGUACACACACACGCACACACAUGCACACGCACACACACACGCGCACACACACAAGCACCCUCUCUACCCUGCGCAGUUUAACUGGGGCCUUCGUGAGUGCAUGACAUACUAACGGUGAUUUCUUCAGAAGAGUUGAUGCAGAAGCAGGAAAAUAUGUCAACAUCAAUAAAUUUUCCUUGAAAAAUAACUGACAUAUCAAAAGGCCCUUUGU
This is a long non-coding RNA of Hipposideros armiger (great roundleaf bat), 786 nucleotides long. RefSeq lists it as uncharacterized. NCBI's taxonomy places the organism in Eukaryota, Metazoa, Chordata, Mammalia, Chiroptera, Hipposideridae. The record is from RefSeq and is a predicted model, not a curated record. The transcript is spliced from 3 exons.